RNAcentral lists this ribosomal RNA (124 nucleotides) under Mucor ambiguus. RNAcentral's name for it is "5.8S ribosomal RNA". It matches the Rfam family "5.8S ribosomal RNA", at positions 29 to 154 of the family's 154-position model. From Rfam's summary of the family: 5.8S ribosomal RNA (5.8S rRNA) is a component of the large subunit of the eukaryotic ribosome. It is transcribed by RNA polymerase I as part of the 45S precursor that also contains 18S and 28S rRNA. Lineage: Eukaryota; Fungi; Mucoromycota; Mucoromycetes; Mucorales; Mucoraceae. The record is from Rfam by way of RNAcentral.
CGCAUCGAUGAAGAACGUAACAAAGUGGGAUAACUAGUGUGAAUUGCUAUUCAGUGAAUCAUCGAGCCUUUGAACGCAACUUGCACUCAUUGCUAUUCCAAUGAGCCCGCCUGUUUCAGUAUCA